Corapipo altera (White-ruffed manakin) is the source of this 339-nucleotide long non-coding RNA. RefSeq lists it as uncharacterized. The record is from RefSeq and is a predicted model, not a curated record. Lineage: Eukaryota; Metazoa; Chordata; Aves; Passeriformes; Pipridae. The transcript has 3 exons.
CACUUAGGCUUCUCUGAGGAGUCUCUGUUCUGCAUUUGACCAUGCUGAGCCCUGAAACUCUGAUCCACAGCAGGAACUGGACAUUUAUUUAGAGGAAUUGGUCUUCAGUCUUUGGGACUAUAAGUAUAUUUGACAGACAUGCCCAGAUUCACCUGUCUCCUUGAACGUCUUAUUGCAUGAGCACUUAUCAGCAAUUGCCCUCAGUAAAAUGUAUCAGGCACUCUGCAAAUAUAGAGAUAAAUGGAAAAGAAGUAACAGCUUGACCAGACCCAACAUCUGUGUCCAUGACCUCCUUGCCACAGAGGAUCAGCACUGUCUGGGCUGAGGUGGACAUCUCUU